AUGGUCAAUUGUGUUAACGGUUCAGUCAGGUAUGACGAGAGUAAUGACCAGACGUCUGGUCAUUUAAAUUUACAGGUGAAUGUUUUGACACCAGUAGGUAAAUUAAAUAAGGCAAUACACAAAUGGAAGGAGACUGGUACAAGUGAGUACAUUUUAAAAGUAAUAGAGCAAGGCUAUGGUAUACCAUUUAAAACUCUGCCAGACAGUUGUGUUCUCAGAAAUAAUAAAUCAUCUUUAGAUAAUUCUGUUUUUGUAAAUGGUGAAAUUUCUAAAUUAUUAGAUAAGAAGUGUAUUUCAGAAGUACACGAAAUACCGUAUGUAGUAAAUCCGCUAACGGUAGCAUAUAACAGAUCAGCAAAACCUAGAUUGGUUCUAGAUUGCAGACAUAUCAAUGAGUGCAUACAUCAGUUUAAAUUUAAGUUUGAAGAUGGGUCAGUUGCCAAGCAACUAUUUAAUAAAGGAAAUUAUCUGUUUCGCUUUGAUUUAAAAAGUGCUUAUCAUCACAUAGAAAUAUUACCAGACCACAGAAAGUAUUUAGGUUUUAGUUGGCAAUUUGAAGGGACAACCAGAUAUUAUGUAUUUAAUGUUCUUCCUUUUGGAAUUGCUAGCGCUGGUCAUAUAUUUACCAAACUUACAAAAGAAGUUGUUAAGUACUGGAGGAGUCAAGGUUUGAGAAUCAUAAUGUACUUAGAUGAUGGUUUGGGCGGAGACAGUAAUUUCGAUUGCGCACACCGUGUUAGCACUUUUGUAAGAGAAAGUUUGACAGAGUUUGGUUUUUUAAUAGCAGAAGAGAAAUGUAUAUGGUUGCCUGUACAGAAUAUUACUUGGAUAGGGUUAUUUUGGGAAAUGCAAUUUGGAAAAUUGAGUAUUACCGAGGAGAGAGUCGAAAGACUUCUUUCGGUUAUUGACAAAACAUUGAAAAGUGUAGGUAAAGGCAAGCUUUUGUAUAAUGCUAGAUUUGUGGCUGGUAUUGUUGGACAGAUAAUAUCAAUGAUGUCUGUAAUGGGAAACGUUUGUAGACUUAGAACUCGAGAAUUGUACAAUUGUCUUAUAAUGAGAGCAAGUUGGAACUCGCUUGUAGUAUUGAAUUCUGUAGCUAUUGAAGAGCUAUAUUUUUGGUUUGAGAACUUAAGAAAGUUCAAUAGAAAGGGUUUAAAUCUGCAUGAGUCAGAUUUUUGUGAUUUUGUGGCGUAUACUGACGCAUCAGAUGUCGGCUUUGGGGGAUAUGUAGUCCCAGCUGAUACAGAGUCUGUCUGUGACUCUGAUUGUAUUAUGAAAAUGACUGAUUGUGGUCUAGAAGUUCCUUAUAACAGUUUGAUAACUGUGACUAGUAACUGGUCGGUAUCUGAAAGUGUUAAAAGCUCUACAUGGAGAGAGCUUGAAGCAGUAAGUAGAGUAGUUAAAAGUUCUGUUACAAUGCUGAAAAAUCAUACAGUUCAACUGAAUACUGAUAAUAAAAACGUUACAAGCAUAAUUAAGAACGGUAGUAGAAAGUUAGAUCUUCAAGAGAUUGCUUGCGAUUUAAAUGAAUUGUGCACAGAAAACAAUAUAAGUAUUAAGACACAAUGGGUUCCUCGGGAACAAAACACAAUAGCUGAUAAUUUAAGUAGAUAUUCAGAUUGUGAUGAUUGGGGAAUUCAUUUUGAGGUGUUUGACAUGCUUGAUGAGCUUUGGGGAAAACAUUCUAUAGAUAGAUUUGCUACUGAUUAUAACAGUAAAUGUUUUAGGUUUAAUUCAAAAUGUUGGUGCAAAGGUACUGAAGCUAUUGACGCUUUCACGCAAAAUUGGCAAGGAGAAAAUAACUGGUUGGCGCCACCGCCAAAUUUGAUAGCCAAGGUCAUUAGAAAAGUAUGCAACGAUAGCGCGGACAGUACUCUUGUUGUUCCAUUUUGGAAAUCAGCUCCAUUCUGGGCAUUAUUACACAAUUCGAAUUGCACUUUUGUUGAGAGUAAAAUGCGGCUUACAAAUAAAAAUUUAAUUGUAAGAGGUAGAGGUAAUAAUGGUAUUUUUGGAGUAAAUCCUUUGAAUUUUGCAAUGAUUGCUUUUAAAAUCAGAUUUUGAUUGUAGUAUUUCUUUUGCACAGGAAUAAAGCAAGAACAGUUUGUACGUGACGCCGUGGUACAUAGUGGAAUUGAUGAAACUCACCCUUUGUACAGUUCGGUUGCCAGCUUAUCUACACAUUUAUUGGGAUCAAGAAGUGACAGUACUGUGAAAAAAUAUUACUAUGGUUUUUUAAAGUGGGAAAAAUUUGUUAGUAAACAUUGUUUAAUUUCAAUGCCUGCCUCGCCUAUACAUAUUGCUUUAUAUUUGUCUAAUUUGUUAGAUUCCGGAUCAACGUACAGUACGGUAUCAUCUGCUGUUUAUUCAAUUAAAUGGGCACAUGAAAUGUGUGGUCAAAUUGACCCUACAAAUAACUCUUUUGUUGAAAGUUUAGUUGAAUCAGCUAAAAGAACUGCUAAACCUGUUGUUAAUAAGAAAGACCCAGUCACUACUGAUAUCUUAAUUCGGUUAUGUUCUAUGUUUCAUUUUUCUACAGAUUUACUGGUAGUUAGGGAUCUUUUGAUGACUUUGCUAGGUUUCAGUGGUUUUUUUUACGUUUUAAUGAGUUAAGUCAGCUUAGAUGUAACGAUUUUUUUCGUAAAAGAAGAGCAUUUAGUUAUUAAGAUUAGGCGAAGUAAGACUGAUCAGUACAGAUCAGGUGAUGAAAUUUUAAUUUGUAAAGGUCAUACUUUGGCUUGUCCUUAUGCUAUGUUUUUUUAGAUAUGUCAGUUUAGCCGAAUUAGUUUUGGAUAGUGAUAUGUUUUUAUUUCGACCUUUGUACAGAAGUAAGAAAAAAUGUGCAUUAAUUAGUAUUAACAAACCUAUUAGUUACACUACUGCUAGGGAGUGUGUUAUUAAGAGAUUAAGACUAGUUGCACCUGAAUUGAAUCUUGGGUUGCAUUCUCUUAGGUCUGGUGGUGCCACUAUGGCGGCAAAUUCAGGUGUCAAUGAAAGGUGCUGGAAGCGCCAGGUGCUGAAAGGCCAUGGUAAGUGAAAAGUGAUUCAAGCAAAGACGGCUACGUAGCCGACUCUGUAGAAAGUAGGUUAGCCGUAUCUAAAACUUUAGGCUUGUAGUAUAUUUAUUUUCUUAUUUUUCUAUCUUUGUUGCUCUAUGCAGUACUCGAGCUAGUCAACAACAUAAGUUUGUGUUGUGUUUUUCUUUAAAUAGUUUAGAUGUAUUAAGUGGAAAGAAGACUAAAAAAUUCCCGAGGCACAUAAGUAUAACGGGAAUUGAUUGUCUUCUUGCGCAUGUGUAAUACAUGUACGUGUAGGCGUAGGAAUUUUUGGCGCCAAAAAAAUAGGUUGUAAAGUGACUGUUUUAUAUAGUUAAUUCUAGCCUGUACUUCGUACUGUGAACAUCGUAUUUUUAAGGGUUUUUUAAGGAAAAAAGAUUUGCAUAAUUUUGUAUUUGAUAAAUAUAUUGAUUUUUAUGUAGGUUGAUUGGCUAUACAAACGUAAUCGUAUUUAGACUUUUGUACCAAAAAUUUUCAUAGCCCUUGAGUCCUAAUGACUCGCUUUCUUUUCUAUUUCGAUAUUUACAAACAAAAUUAUGUUUUUCUUUUUCUCAUUUGAUAAGUGAGGUCCAACACUUAGAGUUUCGUUGGCAUGGACAAAAGGACACAGGUUUCCUAAAAGGGUUUUUCCUGGGCGGCCACGAAACAUUCAUUUAUUCAGUUAUUCUAAUACAAAAGGUCAACAUUGAUGAGUAUAUAUUUUUGUUGAACAAUGAUGUUAUUGUUUUCACAUUGUAUAGUGUAUAAUAUGUUUAUAUUGAUCAUUUGUCUUAUUAAAUCGGCAGCUCACAAUAUCAUGCAGUACUCGAGCUAGUCAACAACAUAAGUUUGUGUUGUGUUUUUCUUUAAAUAGUUUAGAUGUAUUAAGUGGAAAGAAGACGUUUUAUAUCGAAAACUAUCCAUUGAGUUAUAAAAAAACAUAUGCAUUAUUUUUUUUUAAUUUGAGGUUUCUUAUGACUUUGAAUGUUCAUUACGUAGAACCGUAUGCAAAUUGUUCGGAAAACUUUUCUAGCAGUUAGGGAACGACCAUUUGACUUCAAAAAGGGGAGGGGGGAAGAGGGGAACGAAUUUUUCCUUGAAAAAGAUUCGCAUCCUAUAUCUGAUAAAAAAAAAAAAAACAACAUUGCCUGAUUUAAGAACAAUUUAUCUGUUGUGUUCUUUAGAAACUUAAAUACUGGUAAAACUGUUUAUAAUGUAUAUUUUGAGGUGUGGUUUUCCUUCUUACAUAAUCAUUUAACAUUGAAGCCUCGGUCACACCUUACCGGAUAGCUCGAACGGACGACUAACGGAUGACUUUUUUUCAAUCCGUUCAUGUCCGUUAGACAUCCGUUCUUAUCCGUGAGACGUCCGUCCAUAUCCGUUGCAUGCCCGUUAAGCGUACGUUUUAUCCGUCGACGUCCGUUCUGUCCGGUGGAAAAUUUUGAGCAUGUUCAAAACUUUGAACGGACGUCCAACGAAUAAAAUGUCCGUUGAACGUCCGUUAGGCGUCCGUUUUGUACGGUACUCGUACGUUUCGUUUCCGUUUUGUAUCCGUUACGUGUCCUUUAUACAUCUGUUGGGGUCUGGAAGAUAAAUUCACCAACGGAUUUCUACCGGACGUUUAACGGAGAAAACGGAUGUUGAACGAAUGAGAAACAGACUUCUACGGGACGUAUAACGGAUAAAACGGAUGAUGAACGGAUCUGAAACGGAUAAAUGCCAACUGAAAAUUUCGCGUCAGAAAUGCCAAUUAUUGGUAUGUCAGAUGUCUUAAGGUUCAUGAAUUCUUAUUAUUCAUAUUAAUCGAUCUUAGAGUAAAGGCACGUCUUCACAAUCAAGCAGCUCUUAUUCAGGCCAGACACUGCCCUUUGGCGGUAUUUUGAAGAACAAACGAAAACCAGUUACACAGAAACAUUUUGAAUAUUUAUGCGAGUUACAUGUAUUAUUAUUGUCGCCUUUAAUUUUUCUGUAUAUUUUGUUCAUCCGUUUUAUGCGGUAUUCUUCCGUUGGAUGUACGUUCGACAUCCGUUCUGUUCGGUACGUUUCCGUUUCUCGUACGUUGCAUAUCCGGUGUGUGUCCCUUAUGCAUUCGUUACACGUCCGUUUUAUUCGGUCAGUACAUAAUCAGACUCCCAACGGAUAACAAUUUUGUCAACGGACAACUUUUAUUUUCAUCCGUUAGGCGUCCGUUCGUGUUAUCCGGUAAGGUGUGACCGAGGCUUCCUUAUUGUCAUAACAUACAUUUUUUUUUGUAACUAAGGAAAAUCGGCAUUAUGUUCCUAAAGGACGACCAUUGGGAAAGCGCAUACAUUGUUCUUGGUUUUAACAAAUACUGGUGUCUAAUAUUUGUUUUUAACUACGUUUAUUUGCAUUAAUUUCCACUUUGAAUUAAACAAAAUGUUUUAUUUAAGAAAUGUAUUUUGAAAAAGAGUAAAAUAUCUUUACCAUAUUAGAAAUUCAAAAUAAGCAAUUAAAAAAUGAACAAUUAUUUCUUAUUGAUUUGUUUCUAUUGAAAAUGAGAAAAUUUUUUAAUUAAACUCUUUUGAGAAAGUUUAAUGUUCAAUAGAAAAUAUUUUGAAAUGUAGUUUAGUUAUAUAAAAUGUUUAAGGUGAUAUUAAUAGUAUGUCCAGGGUUAAAUAUAACUGUUUUUGCUGUAUAAAUCAGAUAUCAUUUGUGAUCGAGAUGUUUCCUUAUAUGAUUUUAAAUUCUUUGGUUAUGCUGAGGAAGGAUGCCGACUGUCCUAUUUUUCACUGUUAUAGAUUGAUCCCAGUCAGGUUUGCAAUUUAAUAACAGUGCACCCACCCUUUUUCUUUUUAUGUUGAUCCUCUAAGAUUACUUUUUUUAUAAUUGAGUUGGCCAGUGCAUCAAUUCUUGUAUCCAAAACUUAUUCUCAGAUUAUUUAAUAUGCAUCGACAACAUGAAAGUGGAUUGCCAAAAAGUGACCAUGUAUGAUAAAGAUAUUGAAUUACUUAGAUUUUUAAUCAACUAAAUUAUAGCACAUGCUGUUAAAUAGAGAAUAUAAUAUGGCUUUUUCAAUAUCGCAUCCGUAUCAACCCGAGACACCAAUAUGAUCCCAAGAGCUCUGCUCGAGGGAUUAUAUUGGUUGAGGGUUGAUAUGGUGUGUGAUAUUGAAAAAACCAUAUCAUAUACACUUUAUGUACUAUAUAUACCAUGUUUAUUACGAGUUAACAUAUUUAAACAAACGAAUCCGAAGGAUGAGUUUGUUUAAAUAUGUUAAUGAGUAAGAAACAUGGUAUAUAAAAUUUGUAAUAUAAAUAAAAUGAUUGACAGCUUCAAGACCUUCAACUAAUAUUGGAAAUUGAUCACGUUACAGUUUUAUCCAAUGGAAUGGAAGCUCGCGCAAGUCACCUUUGCGCCUCGUGUAUGAUAUUCUGUGUAUUUCAUGUAAUAGAACCCCUGAAUUUGCAAAAAGGAAAGAAAAUGUUAGAUUUUCCCGAUUUUUAUUUAGUUUUGCGCCCCGUGUAUGGUUGUUUGCGCAAGUAACUUCCUAAUGUCAUAAGACUGAUGUAAACAAAAAUAUCGGAUUCCAGCGUCGGACAAGGAUUAAAUAAUUAUUCCAAUGAUGGUAAGAAUUGGUUUUUUUUUUUCAAGUAUCAUACAAAUAAAUCAUAUUUUACAGAAUUUUCAUCUCAUUGAAAAAUGCAUAUUUAUACAUUUCUAGUUUUCGUACAAACUGCUCUCUUCCGUUAUUUUAUCAAUUCGAUUAUUAGCUUAAUUAUUAAAACACAAUUUUAACGAUAAAACACUGUAUUUAAACAGUAGCGGAUCCAGGGAGCGUAGAUAGUGUACGUUCCCCUAAUUGAUCGCAAAAAAAAAUCAUGUUUUUUCAGAUAUUUGUAGCCGAUAUUUAUUCCUUUUUCUAUAGGUACCCCCUUUUUAAAAUAGAAAUUUAAUCGGAUCUUCGCAAAGGAAAUGAUAGUUUCACAUUUCAUUUUUUUCACAACUUAAAGAAGAAACAUUUAGUAAUUGUUUCCAAAAUUAGGGGAAUUCGUAACAAUCCUAUAUAGUUUGCAAAAGGUUUCUUAAGAUUUGGGUACACAUAAUUUAUUGCUUUUUUGUUAUGAAAUGAAAACAAAUGAAGAUCUUGACCUUUUAUUACGUUUUACAGUUUCUAAAUAUUUAAGAGGCGGAUACAUUUAAAAAAAAAAGGUGGAGUUUCAGCCAUGGAAUAACAUGAACAUGAAUAUGUUAUACCAUGGCUGAAGCUCCGCCUUUUCCCUUUGAAUUCUAGUUGAGUUGCAUAUUUAAUUAGCAAAGUAUGGUACAACAUUAAUUUGCAUGUAAUAUACCAUGGUUUUGCCUCACCACACUUUUUAAGCAAAUUAUUUCAUAAAAACAUCAAAGGAAAAAAACUAAUUUAUGUUACAAUAUAUACAUAUACAUCAAGUAGAUGUUUUCUAUGUAACACGACGUCAUACAGAUUAUCGGUUUGACAUGACGUCAUACAGAUUAGGGAUUUGAAAGCCUUUGCAACAGUGACUGCAAUCGAUGACGUGACGUCAUACACAUUAAAGGUGUGAUAAAGCUUUUGCAACCGUGCUGAUAUCGAUAUCAUCACGGGUGGCUGAUACAGCACGCUUGCCAAUGAUUGUAUUACACAUACAAUUUAUCUUUAUUUACUACUAAGUAUAUAAUAAAUUGCACUAUCUCUUUUCAUUUGCAGCAAGAUAAAAGAAAUGACUAAUAACCUAUGACACUUGUAAAUAUAAUUAUAUUUGUUCGAUUGUAUGGCUCUCAGAAUGCCUCAUUUAUUUAAGGGUCUAAAAGAAGUUGCAAAAUAGUAAACAUCAAAAUCUUUCUGCUUCAAAAAUGAAUAACCAAACUUUAUCUUAAAGUUUGUUUAUUUACUUUAAUUUUCCUAUGAUUUGUCUUCGUGCUUUUAAGUUUCGUUUGGUCGUCUGACUAUUGAUGUAACAAGGCAUUUAUACAAGGCAUUUAUAAAUACAUUCGGCCAUCUGGUUUUUAAUUUUUGACUUUCCUGGUGCAAUUUUAGCAAAAUGAUAUAUAUUUUUAUUAAAAACGAAUUUGACCAUUGAUUCUUCGUCAAUUGAAAAAAGAAGUUUCCAAUUUUGACCCUUUAUUAGCUUGUCGUCCCUUCAUCCCAUCAAAUGAAUUUGACCAAAAUUACUGAUUUUAACUGUUUAACUAAAUAAAACGUAUUGCUUUCAGAUCAUUCAAUAUAAUAAAGACAUGUAACCCAAGUUGUUUUUGUUAUUUUGUGUUAGUCUUUAUUGACACUUUUGAACUUAAUUAAUUACAUUCCAGGUGAUUACCCAAAAGAUUGCGGAGAUAUAAAAGGCCGAAGUGGUGUAUACUCUAUAAAUCCUGCUGGAGAAAACUGCGGUUAUAAAGUGUAUUGUGACAUGGAAACAGAUGGUGGAGGGUGGACG
RNAcentral lists this small RNA (8443 nucleotides) under Mytilus galloprovincialis (Mediterranean mussel). The record is from RNAcentral. Lineage: Eukaryota; Metazoa; Mollusca; Bivalvia; Mytilida; Mytilidae.